Molecule: ribosomal RNA, 404 nt
Filed under: Actinomycetes bacterium
Lineage: Bacteria; Bacillati; Actinomycetota; Actinomycetes
Description: Actinobacteria bacterium partial 16S ribosomal RNA
Rfam family: Bacterial small subunit ribosomal RNA
Source: RNAcentral
UGGGGAAUAUUGGACAAUGGGCGCAAGCCUGAUCCAGCCAUGCCGCGUGAGUGAUGAAGGCCCUAGGGUUGUAAAGCUCUUUCACCGGUGAAGAUAAUGACGGUAACCGGAGAAGAAGCCCCGGCUAACUUCGUGCCAGCAGCCGCGGUAAUACGAAGGGGGCUAGCGUUGUUCGGAUUUACUGGGCGUAAAGCGCACGUAGGCGGACUAUUAAGUCAGGGGUGAAAUCCCGGGGCUCAACCCCGGAACUGCCUUUGAUACUGGUAGUCUUGAGUUCGAGAGAGGUGAGUGGAAUUCCGAGUGUAGAGGUGAAAUUCGUAGAUAUUCGGAGGAACACCAGUGGCGAAGGCGGCUCACUGGCUCGAUACUGACGCUGAGGUGCGUAAGCGUGGGGAGCAAACAGG